This is an RNA transcript of Cyprinus carpio (common carp), 7324 nucleotides long. It is a transcript of the gene named transforming acidic coiled-coil-containing protein 2-like, with no coding region annotated. The record is from RefSeq and is a predicted model, not a curated record. The transcript is spliced from 5 exons. NCBI's taxonomy places the organism in Eukaryota, Metazoa, Chordata, Actinopteri, Cypriniformes, Cyprinidae.
AUGAUUCAGAACUCAGAUGAAAUAAAAAUAGAGACACAUAGUCAGUUAAUUAGUGAUUCACUGGUGUGCCCAUCCACAUACACGGAUAAACAUUCUGGUCACACGUUGCAUUUAGAAGCUAAAAUAAGCAUACAACCAAACAUACAGAAACAGGUGGAGUCAGGGACACAUCAGCAGAUAAAUGGACAGAUAGAAACAAACACAAAAGUAGGAUCAAGCCUUGACCAUCAAAGACAGGAAUUAGGACUCCCAGAACAGCUGAGUUCUGAGGGUAAACAAUUGAUCUGCUCCCCACCUCCAGAACCCGAAGCUCAUCUUUCCCUGGCUGAGGCUCCACCUGCCCUGUUACUGGACUCUCCACAGGGGCCUGAGCAAAAUGAUAACCAGGAUCAGACAGAUGGACCCUGCAAAUCAAUAUCAGAAGGUGAAACCAUACACCACAACCACUGUACAACAGGGGAAGUCAAACAUGAGAAAAAUGUGUCUGCUGUUGUGAUUGAUUUCUGCCAAGCUACAACAGCCCCUGAACAUGAGCCUAUAGGGAGAUGUGACUUAGAGACAUAUGCACUGGAGCAGGAGAAUGGACCUCCUUUAGGCGGUGGAGCUGGCGCACACGCACCACUGUGGGGGAAUUCACAUGCUUUGAGCCUAGCCAGUGCAGAAGAGAGUGCCCUUGAAUGGGAUUCAGCAGAGUCCACUGCCUCCACAUUGCUACAAACAACACCCACGAUGCCAGAAAUGAUAGAAAGCGAGGGAGAGAAGAAGAGAGGUGGUGCCUCAAUAAUAUUACAAGCAGCAGAGAGAGAAUCGGCAGUGCUGGAAGCGGAUGAGUCUCCGAGCUCAGAGGAAACAUUAAGUGAAUUUAUAGCUGAAAAGGGACAAGAAUGCACCUCAGUAAUUUUUCCAGACAUUAAGUGCUCACCUGUUCAGAAAGAGGAGGCGACUGAGGAGAGCUGUGGCAGCUCGACGGAGAGUGAGGGAAAGGGUGGGGGUCUGCUGAUUGCACUCUCCCCAGCCGGAGACAUCGAUACAGGCACGGUGGGCACAGAGGACAAAGCUUUGGUCACCUAUUCCUCUCCAUGUGUCCUUGGAACAUGUGACUGGAAGGUGGAGAGUUCCCGAUCAAAGGAGAGAAAAGAAGAGAGCGAAGAGGAGGGGAAAAAGGCAAGCAAAGGCGGAGCACGGAACGCAGCACAUGCCGGCAGGGUGUUACAGACAGAGGCAGCGACCGAGACGUGUCCAUCCCAUUGCAUCACAGCAUCACCAACGGCAACACAAGACCAGAGUGACCUCAUCCAUCCUGUCACAGCAGGCACAGCCCCAUUUCCUCUGACCAUCAACAGAAUAAACGACUGCGACUCCAUCAGCCCACCCCCUCCUCUUUCCCACAUAAACUCUACAAAGACAGAAGCGCAGAGAGAGGAAGAGGCUAAUCUGAAUCCGAGCCCAAUUGCAUCAGGAGCAGACCUGCCAGGCAGUGAUAGAUCACUUCCACCAGCAGUUUAUUUCGAAAACGAAUGUCUCUCUGUGCAAGCCAACGAUCAACAGGUACAGAGCUCUUCACAGACUAGAACCGCAAGCUGUGACACAUCCAUCAAGACAGAGACACAGCAACAAAGACAAGAAAUAUUUCCUACAAGUGAAGAGACAUCUCAAUUUACUAAGCUACAAGUAAACAUGAGGGAUAUCGCCGCAAGUUGUACCAAAGUGGAAGGGUCUCCAAAAGGUAUGCAGAGCUCUUUUGAGAACCAAAAUGAUACAACACUGAAAUGCCAAAUGACUGAAUGUGCCUCUUUGCCCCCAUUGAUGGUAUUUGAAAGUCUACAUCAUCCAGUAAAAGAGGCUAGCUUCAACUUUAAAGGUUUUCUCAGCAUCAGCAAACCAGCACUUCCUCUUCAGACAGAACCGACCACUGGCCAGAGAAAUACUGACCUGCAUGGAGCAGAAAGGGAACAUACUGCCUCUGAAGAAGGUAAAGAUGAAAAAAAUGAAAAGCAAAAAGAAAAAGUGGAAAUGACAUUUAAAGAGUCAAAGGAUUGGAGAGAAAUGACCUGUACAUCUCAAACGCAGGGUGAUCCUACUGUAAAACUUGGCGCUAAUGUUAAUGUAAAUAUGAGUAGCUGUGAAGACGAUGGAAAAGUGACAGAUGGAACUCUUGAUGUCAGCAAGGGAAAUCCUGUUUCAUCACUGUCAGCUGCAGGUGAGACCACCUGUGUUAAUGAAUCUAAGGAUGUGGUUAAUGAAACUCUGGCAGCAACUGAAGUAAUUAAAGAGAAGCAAGAAAAUAAAGAAUGUUUGAAUGUUACUCAGACCACCCCAAAUAAUAUAGAUGAGUCAGCAUCUGCUGAGAAGAACAGUGUUUUACUACCGGAUGUAACUCCACAAGAGGGUCGUAACAGCAGCCCUGCUCUUAAUGGUGAGAGGGCUGAUAUGACUGUGUCUGAAGGAGUUGAACAAAGACAUACAGAAAUUCUGUUUACCACCAAGGAAAAGCUGGAUGAAGAGAUUGAUGAACCAAAGGGAUGUGGGUUGCCUGAAACAGGUGAUAUAGAACCAACAUGUCCAGGUAAUUCAGAAAAUCUUGUGAAUGAUAGUCGAGAGCAUGAGUCAAAGCCAGAAAAAUACACAUGUGAAGUUGAAACAAAGGUAAAAAUCAGCUCCAUGUCUCCAGCAGCUGCCCCAGACAUAGACAGCAUGUGCCCUUACACUCAACCAGACAAGAAAUCCAACACUGAGCAGCCUACUAUAAUCUCAGAGAUGCAAUUUCUGUCAAAAGCAGAUAAGUGUGAAUCACAGUUCAGUAAUGAAAUGAUGAAAAAUAAUGCAGCGGAUGCUAGGGACACAACAGUCCCUUCUCUUCCUCCAGCGGUGACUACAGUACCAGCACAAAGGGAUCGUUCCUCAAUUACCACACAAAGCACUAACAGUGAUGCCAGGGAUGUGUCUGUCAUUGUACUAAAGGCUCCAGGCCCAAUGCUGAGUCACUGUGAGUCUGUUAAUGACUGUGAUAUUGCUGUAGCAGAACCCGGGGAGGAUUGCAGUGUGAACUGUGUGUGUGAUUCUGAGACUGAGAUUGUAAAGAAUAUUACGGACAAAUCUAAUCAACAACUGGAUGUGAAUGAAGAGAGGUUAAGAUCUCAAAAUGCAGAUGAUCUGCUUUACCCUGUUGCUGUCUCCACACAGGAAAUUGCAGCAUCAUCUGGAAACCAUUUGCUUACAACUGACAGACCAGACCAGGCAGGUGAUUCACCGCUGGUGUUAAAGAACCUGGAUAUUGUUGGAAAUGCAAAGAUGAAACAGAAUGACAGAUCUAAGGGUGUUGGAGAAUUGGAGGUUGUUAGAAAAGAGAAGAGUGAAGGACAUUUAAAUUCUGUAUAUGAAAAUGAUUUAUGCAAUGCACCGAUAAAUGCUCCUACAGAAAAUGAGGUUAUUAAUAAUGACACAUCUGAAGAAUUCAAGCACAUGAAAGGGGGAGAGGACAACAAGGAGUGUGUUAAGGAAACCGAAGAAAAAAUCAAUGCAGAAAAUGAAACUAGUUCCUCUCAGGAAGAAGGGACUGAACAAAAAAAUGAAAAGCAGGGUGAAAGGAAGGAACAAGAAGUAAUGUCUUUUAAGGAGGAGAAGCAUAAUAAAGAAGAGACGAAUUCCUCUAAAACAUCAUGUGCUAAUGAGACACUUAAUUCUCAACCUGCUUUGACAAUGCAACAAAGUCCUAAUGAUGAAAUCAAAUGUGAUUCACAUCUGAUGCACUUGGAGGACAAUCUCGAUACACUUUUGACUGAGGAACCUGUUCAGCAUGUGUCUGACAAUGUAAAAAUGAAUAAAAGUGUAUCCAAAAGAUUCAGUCAGGUGAUGGGAGGAGAGCAGAACAGGGAGAUUAUGCAAGAAAAUGAGGUGCAAAAUGUAAAAUCCAUUGCAGAAAAGGACAGCAAAAAAAGUGCAAAUACCUCUCAAGAACAGAAUGAGAUUGCUGCAAAAGAAAAAGCUGAUCAAACACAAGCAGAAAAUCAGACAUUAAUAAAUCUCUCUAAUCUAUCAGGAGAAAAAAAAUUAUUAGAUGAAACCAUUCCAAGAGGAAAAUUGCAUUCUAGCCCUAUGGAUGAUCCUGGUUUAACCUCUGAAGGGAUUAUAGAAGAGGCUCUGAGUUGUAGAGGGGCACUAACUGAAAAAUCUCCUCCAGUCGUUGAUCACACCAUGUCAGCAGUGGUGAAUGCUUCUCCUAAAAGAGACCACACACAAGAUCCAAGGGGUUUGAGCCAGUCAGAUUUGGCACUUUCACAAUCCGGAGAGCACCAGCUGCAACAGAACUUUAUGAGUGCCCCAAAAGCAAUGUUAAGUGUGAGUAAAAGCAACGUUUUAGAAAAUGCUGAGACCAAUAAUCAUGCAAAUGCUGAGGCAAGUGAAAAGCAAGAGAAGGUGGUGAUGUAUUAUAGUGCAGAGGCUCCAAGUUCCCUAAACAGCACAUCAGAGAGUGCUGCACUGGUGGGGGGCUAUAACAAAGAUGUUGCUGUGUUCAAUAUAUGUCCAGAGAAUGAAAAGAAGACAAUACAAACAAUAGAUCUUAAUGGUGGGAGAUUUCCUGUUUGUGGUGAAAGUACUUCAAGUGAAAUCCAACCUCAGUCAGCUCCCAGCUUGUCUAUAACAGCAUCGUCAGCUUUUGAAACUUUAGAAGUCAAACGGGUUAUAGAGGCUACAGAGGCAAAAGAGCCUGCCAUCUCAGCAUCACAGGAAAGUGUGAGUAAACAUGCAGACUGUACCAAAUCACAGGUCAGCGCGGAUACACAUGGGAAUGUGUGGAACGAAAUCCCUGACACCAAGAAAGGCUCAGAAUUUCCGUUAAAUCACUCAAGUGAGUUUUCUGUGAUUCCCACAUUCUCACACCAUGAGGCAGGGCUAAAAACAGAAGAGAAAUGUUUCGAUUCUGUUACCCCUGGAGACACUGGAAACAUUGAGAUCAGUUCUGAUUCAAUGAGUGAUUUUGCACAGAUGUCUACAGCAGGAACUUCCCAAAUUCAACAAGAGAAAGAAUUCGUUUUUCAGUUCUCUGAUUGCCAGCUCUCCACCACUACAUCCUCUGCUUCUGUCCUCCAAAAAUGUAUUAAAGAGGAAAAAGAGAUAAGUGUGGAUCAGACCCUUAAAGAUGCACUAGAACCUAACACUCCUAAUUCCACUCCCCAAUCUGAGACAGCCACCUGGAAGAUGGAGCAGCUUAAUAAGCAUUUGUCAGUGCAAUUCCCAGAUGGUACCCAAAACACAGAGGAGCAGAAUACACAGUGUUCUGAACAGCAGUUACAACAUGUAAGAACUUGUUUGGACACUAAAAAUACAAUCAGUUCUAUGGAAGAAGAAAACACCAUUUCAAAUGACGUACAACAGCGAGAAGGAAUUCAAGUAGAGAGAAGUAAACAGAUGGUGGAUGAAGAAAAGAACAAGGCCAUUGAAAAUGAUCACAGAGAAAUGUUCAAAGGGGCUGAACCUAAGUCUUCACAGUCUAUAAUUGAAGAAAGCAUCUCCAAAGAAAACCAAAGCAAGUUGGAGGAGCAUUCUUUAUUUUCCCCUGUUGAAGCAAUAGUCGAUAAUGUAGACCAGCAAAUUGAAGAAGUUUCUAAUGGAUCACAGACAGAAAUGAUAGAGGCUGUGUCAUUGUUAUACCCUGAGACCUCUAUUUGCUUGGUGACUGACCCCCAGGAUUCCCACCAGUCCCCUCCUGCAGUCAAUCAACAGUGUAGUCAGCAGUCCACUAAGUCUUUUAUCCAAAACUUACGUGAAAACGCCACAAAGAAAGUUGAAAGUAGAAGUGAGCGAAGUCCUGACAUAGCAGAUAACUCUCCUGGAGACAUAGAAUCCGUUCUAAUCAAAAAAGCGAUAGAGAAAAAUGACAGAGAAGAUGAAGUCAGUAAGGUGUCAACAGCUGCAGAUGUGUUGCUGGGUUCAGGCACAAGAACAGAGCAGAUAUCACAGGUUAUCGACAGUUCAGACAGCCAAAUGCUAAGUGCAGUCUUUGUACCUGAGAGGUCAGAUGUAGUCAACUCUGAAGGGUCUGAUUGGCUCAGAGCUCUGAAGGAUGCAGCCUCCAUGUCUCAGAUCAUUCCAGAGCACAGAGAUGAGUCUACCUGUGGAUCUACAGAAAACAGGCCAUUUGAGACCCUCUGUUCACCUCAGACUGAUCUAGAAUUCCGAACCCCAACUGAAGAAUAUUUUCCCCCUGCACCUGAAGAUAGUUUUCCCCUGGAACUUGAGGAGAGUUUUCCUCCUGCACCUGAGGAGAGUUUUCCUCCUGCUCCUGAGGAGAGUUUUCCUCCUGCACCUGAGGAGAGUUUUCCUCCUGCACCUGAGGAGAGUUUUCCUCCUGCUCCUGAGGAGAGUUUUUCUCCUGCUUCUGAGGAGAGUUUCCCACCUGCACCUGAGGAGAGUUUCCCACCUGAACCUGAGGAGAGUUUUCCUCCUGCUCCUGAGGAGAGUUUCCCGCCUGCACCUGAGGAGAGUUUUACCCCUAUCACUAAGCAGCCAGAAGACCCACCAGACUGCAGGUCUCCUCUGGUAGAGGCUGCUGAGAGCGGUGAGCCUGUCCCCUCUCCCUUAUCACCCCUACCACAGCACCCUGCCCUCUCUGCCCACCUGCUCCAGGAAACGGUCGAUUUCCCCACACCGCCCCCUACCCCUCCGGACAGGGCUCCCCCUGAGCCUCAGACCCUUCCUCCUGCUCCUGCUCCUUCUGGUCUACCCGAGGCUCCCCCUGCUGCCCCUGUGCCUCCUCAAAUCCAACAGCUCCAGCACGCUGAGCCUUCAGCAAGGAGUUCAGACUCGACGGAGCAUUCGAAACCCCUGAGUCCACCACCCCUGUGAAGUCUGCUUCCCCACGAGUGCCUCCAACAGAGCCCCCCUGCACCAACUCAGAGGCAUUGUCCCAAGAACACACAGCUUCCACUGCUGUCAUCUCUGCCAGCGAAGCUCAAGACCCAAAUCAGCUUCAAUCUCCCAGUCGCUCUCAAUCUAUAGUCUUUGAUGAGGACAAACCAAUAGCAGCUAGUGGCACCUACAACCUACAAUACUUAAUUGCUGAUGACCCCUUCCCAGAAUCAAAUUUUGGGUCUGGACCAUCAAGCCGAGCGCCUCUCACCCGCUCUCUAAGCCUGCAGUCCGGUGAGUUAGAGAGCCCAGGAGACAAAUCCUCAGGAGGAACCUCCGACAAACCCAUUCACCCACGAGCAGAGUCCUUCAACAUAGGAACAGAAAGUGCUUCGGGAACUCUUCGUAAAGUGAAGAAGCCCCGUCCAGGUUCCCUAAAGAAGAAACCACUUUCCCGGCAGAACUCAAACCCAGA